RNAcentral lists this ribosomal RNA (475 nucleotides) under uncultured bacterium. RNAcentral describes it as "bacterial SSU rRNA". It matches the Rfam family "Bacterial small subunit ribosomal RNA", at positions 335 to 805 of the family's 1533-position model. The record is from RNAcentral.
ACUCCUACGGGGAGGCAGCAGUGGGGAAUAUUGGACAAUGGGGGGAACCCGUGAUCCAGCCAUGCCGCGUGUGUGAAGAAGGCCUUAUGGUUGUAAAGCACUUUAAAGCGAGGAGGAGGCUACUGAGACUAAUACUCUUGGAUAGUGGACGUUACUCGCAGAAUAAGCACCGGCUAACUCUGUGCCAGCAGCCGCGGUAAUACAGAGGGUGCGAGCGUUAAUCGGAUUUACUGGGCGUAAAGCGUGCGUAGGCGGCUUUUAAGUCGGAUGUGAAAUCCCCGAGCUUAACUUGGGAAUUGCAUUCGAUACUGGGAAGCUAGAGUAUGGGAGAGGAUGGUAGAAUUCCGAGGUGUAGCGGUGAAAUGCGUAGAGAUCUGGAGGAAUACCGAUGGCGAAGGCAGCCAUCUGGCCUAAUACUGACGCUGAGUACGAAGCAUGGGAGCAAACAGGAUUAGAUACCCCUGGUAGCGACUGA